AACGAACGCUGGCGGCAUGCCUAACACAUGCAAGUCGAACGAGACCUUCGGGUCUAGUGGCGCACGGGUGCGUAACGCGUGGGAAUCUGCCCUUGGGUUCGGAAUAACAGUUGGAAACGACUGCUAAUACCGGAUGAUGACGUAAGUCCAAAGAUUUAUCGCCCAAGGAUGAGCCCGCGUAGGAUUAGCUAGUUGGUGAGGUAAAGGCUCACCAAGGCGACGAUCCUUAGCUGGUCUGAGAGGAUGAUCAGCCACACUGGGACUGAGACACGGCCCAGACUCCUACGGGAGGCAGCAGUGGGGAAUAUUGGACCAUGGGCGAAAGCCUGAUCCAGCAAUGCCGCGUGAGUGAUGAAGGCCUUAGGGUUGUAAAGCUCUUUUACCCGGGAUGAUAAUGACAGUACCGGGAGAAUAAGCUCCGGCUAACUCCGUG
This 433-nucleotide ribosomal RNA is filed under the name uncultured bacterium. RNAcentral's name for it is "partial 16S ribosomal RNA". It matches the Rfam family "Bacterial small subunit ribosomal RNA", at positions 29 to 507 of the family's 1533-position model. The record is from RNAcentral.